GACGAACGCUGGCGGCGUGCUUAACACAUGCAAGUCGAACGGUGAAGCGCCUUCCUUUUUGGUGGGUGUGGAUGAGUGGCGAACGGGUGAGUAACACGUGAGUAACCUGCCCCCUUCUUCUGGAUAACCGCAUGAAAGUGUGGCUAAUACGGGAUAUUCUGGGUCUGUCGCAUGAUGGGUCUGGGAAAGAUAUUGUUUCGGUGGGGGAUGGGCUCGCGGCCUAUCAGCUUGUUGGUGGGGUGAUGGCCUACCAAGGCGGUGACGGGUAGCCGGCCUGGGAGGGUGGCCGGUCACACUGGGACUGAGACCCGGCCCAGACUCCUACGGGAGGCAGCAGUGGGGAAUAUUGCACAAUGGGCGCAAGCCUGAUGCAGCGACGCCGCGUGAGGGAUGGAGGCCUGCGGGUUGUGAACCUCUUUCGCCAGUGAAGCAGGCCUGCCUCGUUUGUGGGUGGGUUGACGGUAGCUGGAUAAGAAGCGCCGGCUAACUACGUG
This 494-nucleotide ribosomal RNA is filed under the name uncultured bacterium. RNAcentral describes it as "partial 16S ribosomal RNA". It matches the Rfam family "Bacterial small subunit ribosomal RNA", at positions 28 to 507 of the family's 1533-position model. The record is from RNAcentral.